GGCGUGCCUAAUACAUGCAAGUCGAGCGAGCGGAACUAACAGAUUUACUCGGUAAUGACGUUAGGAAAGCGAGCGGCGGAUGGGUGAGUAACACGUGGGGAACCUGCCCCAUAGUCUGGGAUACCACUUGGAAACAGGUGCUAAUACCGGAUAAGAAAGCAGAUCGCAUGAUCAGCUUUUAAAAGGCGGCGUAAGCUGUCGCUAUGGGAUGGCCCCGCGGUGCAUUAGCUAGUUGGUAAGGUAAAGGCUUACCAAGGCGAUGAUGCAUAGCCGAGUUGAGAGACUGAUCGGCCACAUUGGGACUGAGACACGGCCCAAACUCCUACGGGAGGCAGCAGUAGGGAAUCUUCCACAAUGGACGCAAGUCUGAUGGAGCAACGCCGCGUGAGUGAAGAAGGUUUUCGGAUCGUAAAAGCUCUGUUGUUGGUGAAGAAGGAUAGAGGUAGUAACUGGCCUUUAUUUGACGGUAAUCAACCAGAAAGUCACGGCUAACUACGUGCC
This 501-nucleotide ribosomal RNA is filed under the name uncultured bacterium. Its description in RNAcentral is "bacterial SSU rRNA". It matches the Rfam family "Bacterial small subunit ribosomal RNA", at positions 41 to 509 of the family's 1533-position model. The record is from RNAcentral.